GAUGAACGCUGGCGGCGUGCCUAAUACAUGCAAGUCGAGCGAACAGACGAGGAGCUUGCUUCUCUGAUGUUAGCGGCGGACGGGUGAGUAACACGUGGAUAACCUACCUAUAAGACUGGGAUAACUUCGGGAAACCGGAGCUAAUACCGGAUAAUAUUUUGAACCGCAUGGUUCAAUAGUGAAAGACGGUUUUGCUGUCACUUAUAGAUGGAUCCGCGCUGCAUUAGCUAGUUGGUAAGGUAACGGCUUACCAAGGCAACGAUGCGUAGCCGACCUGAGAGGGUGAUCGGCCACACUGGAACUGAGACACGGUCCAGACUCCUACGGGAGGCAGCAGUAGGGAAUCUUCCGCAAUGGGCGAAAGCCUGACGGAGCAACGCCGCGUGAGUGAUGAAGGUCUUCGGAUCGUAAAACUCUGUUAUUAGGGAAGAACAUAUGUGUAAGUAACUAUGCACGUCUUGACGGUACCUAAUCAGAAAGCCACGGCUAACUACGUG
RNAcentral lists this ribosomal RNA (497 nucleotides) under uncultured bacterium. Its description in RNAcentral is "partial 16S ribosomal RNA". It matches the Rfam family "Bacterial small subunit ribosomal RNA", at positions 28 to 507 of the family's 1533-position model. The record is from RNAcentral.